AACGAACGCUGGCGGCAUGCCUAACACAUGCAAGUCGAACGAGACCUUCGGGUCUAGUGGCGAACGGGUGCGUAACGCGUGGGAACCUGCCCUUAGGUUCGGAAUAACUCCCCGAAAGGGGUGCUAAUACCGGAUAAUGUCUUCGGACCAAAGAUUUAUCGCCUUUGGAUGGGCCCGCGUUGGAUUAGCUAGUUGGUAGGGUAAAAGCCUACCAAGGCGACGAUCCAUAGCUGGUCUGAGAGGAUGACCAGCCACACUGGGACUGAGACACGGCCCAGACUCCUACGGGAGGCAGCAGUGGGGAAUAUUGGACAAUGGGCGAAAGCCUGAUCCAGCAAUGCCGCGUGAGUGAUGAAGGCCUUAGGGUUGUAAAGCUCUUUUACCCGGGAUGAUAAUGACAUUACCGGGAGAAUAAGCUCCGGCUAACUCCGUG
RNAcentral lists this ribosomal RNA (433 nucleotides) under uncultured bacterium. Its description in RNAcentral is "partial 16S ribosomal RNA". It matches the Rfam family "Bacterial small subunit ribosomal RNA", at positions 29 to 507 of the family's 1533-position model. The record is from RNAcentral.